Molecule: ribosomal RNA, 482 nt
Filed under: uncultured bacterium
Lineage: Bacteria
Description: partial 16S ribosomal RNA
Rfam family: Bacterial small subunit ribosomal RNA
Source: RNAcentral
AUUGAACGCUGGCGGCAUGCCUUACACAUGCAAGUCGAACGGUAACGGGCCUUCGGGUGCCGACGAGUGGCGAACGGGUGAGUAAUACAUCGGAACGUGCCCGAUCGUGGGGGAUAACGAGGCGAAAGCUUUGCUAAUACCGCAUACGAUCUACGGAUGAAAGCAGGGGACCGCAAGGCCUUGCGCGGACGGAGCGGCCGAUGGCAGAUUAGGUAGUUGGUGGGAUAAAAGCUUUCCAAGCCGACGAUCUGUAGCUGGUCUGAGAGGAUAAUCAGCCACACUGGGACUGAGACACGGCCCAGACUCCUACGGGAGGCAGCAGUGGGGAAUUUUGGACAAUGGGCGCAAGCCUGAUCCAGCCAUGCCGCGUGCAGGAUGAAGGCCUUCGGGUUGUAAACUGCUUUUGUACGGAACGAAAAGCCUUCUUUUAAUACAGGAGGGUCAUGACGGUACCGUAAGAAUAAGCACCGGCUAACUACGUG